Molecule: ribosomal RNA, 465 nt
Filed under: uncultured bacterium
Lineage: Bacteria
Description: partial 16S ribosomal RNA
Rfam family: Bacterial small subunit ribosomal RNA
Source: RNAcentral
CCUACGGGAGGCAGCAGUGGGGAAUAUUGCGCAAUGGGCGAAAGCCUGACGCAGCGACGCCGCGUGAGGGAUGAAGGUCUUCGGAUCGUAAACCUCUGUCAGCAGGGAAGAACGGUCACUGUGCUAAUCAGCAGUGAAUUGACGGUACCUGCAAAGGCAGCACCGGCUAACUCCGUGCCAGCAGGCGCGGUAAUGCGGAGGGUGCGAGCGUUAAUCGGAAUUACUGGGCGUAAAGCGCUCGUAGGCGGUAUGUCAAGUCAAGGGUGAAAUCCCCGCGCUCAACGUGGGAACUGCCUUUGAAACUGGCAAACUGGGGUGUGUUAGAGGAGAGUGGAAUUCCAGGUGGAGGAGUGAAAUCCGUAGAUAUCUGGUGGAACAUCAGUGGCGAAGGCGACUAUCUGGCACAUAACUGACGCUGAGGAGCGAAAGCGUGGGUAGCAAACAGGAUUAGAUACCCCAGUAGUC